GUACCUGGGCUUUUCUGGCUCCAGACUUGAAAGACAGAGCUUUUCAGUCUCUUGCAAGUCCUAGUUAAAUAGGACCUCAGUGGCAGAUCAGGGCCAAGGAACCCCAGGCUGCUGUACCAGGCUCCUGGGGAUUGGGGUGAAGAGACAGCGGGGGGAGGGGAAUUUGCCAGCACUUGGAGACUGACAGUUUCAGGCCAAGGUAGGCAGCACUGAUGCCGACAGCACGGCCCUGCCUCCCGCCCACUCACUGGCCUCUACCUGCUUUCUGCCUCUACAGCCUCUGGGAUCAAGACAAGCCUGGGUGCAAAUCCUGACUCCCCCCACCUGCUCAGUGUGUAACCUUGGGCAAGUCAUCAUUUACCACUACGAAUUGGGUUUCUUUGUCGGGGAAAUGAAGAUGAUAAGAGAUUUUGUUGGAAGGAAAAUCAGAAGCAAUGGUGGCUUUAUCCUCGAUACUGUCCUGGGCAACAGUCUUUUUUAGUCAGAAACCUCAAUGAAGACGUAAGACAGUGGAAUGCAUGGAGGACAAAAAGAAACACAUAGGAAGACUCAGACCACCUCCCUGUGCUGGACACUGUCAUGUUUGGAAGUGCAGCAGCUAUCUUGUAACCAAGAAGAGAGUCAGACUGAUGGCCUUGUGACUCCUGAAGAAGACAGACAAGAAAAAUGGAAAGAACCUGAACCUUUGCUUAUGACACUGAGCCCCCAAAUUAAUCAAUCCUGGAAUCAUCCUACUUUGGACUUCUUAGAGUGUAGUAUAAUAAAGUACC
Molecule: long non-coding RNA, 770 nt
Organism: Cervus elaphus (red deer)
Lineage: Eukaryota; Metazoa; Chordata; Mammalia; Artiodactyla; Cervidae
Exons: 3
Source: RefSeq, a predicted model, not a curated record